UUAUGGUAUCAUAACCAUUGUUGACCGUUCAUAGAAUCCUUGCAAUUGCUUUGCAGCUUAUGCGGGGAUUCUACGACGGUUAGCCGAGACCUUUGACAUCAAAUA
Molecule: microRNA precursor, 105 nt
Filed under: Medicago truncatula (barrel medic)
Lineage: Eukaryota; Viridiplantae; Streptophyta; Magnoliopsida; Fabales; Fabaceae
Description: miRNA gene15790
Rfam family: MIR2587 microRNA precursor family
Source: RNAcentral